GGUUGGUUGCUGAAAUCUCUACUUUCCUAUUUCUCUUUCGUCUUAUGCUAGCAAUAUGAGAGAGCUAAAGACUGUAAGAGCUGCUAAAGAACGUAUGAAGAAGUUUUAAGGUUUAUUUUGGAACUUUUAUUUACAGGAUGAAGGUACCUCGUUCCCAACAUCGGUUUGGGACGUAUGUUUUUAUAGACUUCUUGUGCAAACUAUACGGACUUGAAAUUUUUUACUCAAAGUCCGUGGAAAUGACAUGUUAAUUUUACGGACUUAAGACCUACUGAAAUCCGUAACUAUAGAUUCUAAAAACAUCAAAUCAAUAUGGUCAGGCUAUACAAUGUGGCCGACAACUAAUAAAAGCUUUAUCAGCUUUAUGACCGAUCUAUACAAUAUGGUCAAAAUAGCUUUACAAAAUGGCCAAAAAAUGUCGAAUCAUGUUUGCAAAAAAUUAUCCUUCCAUCAUAUUUUCGAUGUUGCUCAUUUCUUCUGGUCCCAUUGUUUCCCAAUAAUGAUCAUCAUUAUAUUCUUCAUCUGCUUCGAUAUCCAAAUGCUUUGC
This 547-nucleotide long non-coding RNA is filed under the name Coffea arabica (coffee). Its description in RNAcentral is "long non-coding RNA (CARA_LNC003295)". Lineage: Eukaryota; Viridiplantae; Streptophyta; Magnoliopsida; Gentianales; Rubiaceae. The record is from RNAcentral.